UGAGAGACCUUUGAGCCAUCCAAAAAUCAGAGAGAAAUACUUUUGGGUCAUGGAGAUAUAAAAGAUGCAAGUUUGGGUGUCUAGAGAGAAAAACGUGAAGAAGAAGAGGGUCUUCUUCUUGGGUUUUUGUUUUCAUGUCUUUCCUCCCUCCAUCUUGAGUUUCUUAAGAGUGUCUCAGAUCUGAAACUCCUCCUUCUACUUUCCAUCUUUGGAAGAGUCCAAAUCAAGAAGGAGGCACCUGAUCAACCAUCAAAGAAGGAUCAGCGCAGUACUAGCAUACUGUGCUGAUUUCCUAAAGCAGGACUUCUGAUCGAGAUUCGUGGGCUCGUGUGGACGACUCCUAGAGGCCGGACGCAUGUGCGGCUUGCAACAUCAUCCUCAAGCCCAGAUCAGCAAGGUUAGAACAUCUAACUUGCAAGGUAAU
RNAcentral lists this long non-coding RNA (424 nucleotides) under Elaeis guineensis (African oil palm). Its description in RNAcentral is "long non-coding RNA (EGUI_LNC068670)". The record is from RNAcentral. Lineage: Eukaryota; Viridiplantae; Streptophyta; Magnoliopsida; Arecales; Arecaceae.